GAUAGGCUGGAGGUGGAAGCCCUGUGAGGGGUGGAGCUGACCAGUACUAAUAGCCCGUGCGUCUUGUUUC
This 70-nucleotide ribosomal RNA is filed under the name Desulfovibrio piger. RNAcentral's name for it is "partial 23S ribosomal RNA". Lineage: Bacteria; Pseudomonadati; Thermodesulfobacteriota; Desulfovibrionia; Desulfovibrionales; Desulfovibrionaceae. The record is from RNAcentral.